RNAcentral lists this ribosomal RNA (253 nucleotides) under uncultured bacterium. RNAcentral describes it as "partial 16S ribosomal RNA". It matches the Rfam family "Bacterial small subunit ribosomal RNA", at positions 524 to 776 of the family's 1533-position model. The record is from RNAcentral.
UACGUAGGGGGCAAGCGUUGUCCGGAAUCAUUGGGCGUAAAGCGCGUGUAGGCGGUUCGGUAAGUCUGCUGUGAAAGUCCAGGGCUCAACCCUGGGAUGCCGGUGGAUACUGUCGGACUAGAGUACGGAAGAGGCGAGUGGAAUUCCCGGUGUAGCGGUGAAAUGCGCAGAUAUCGGGAGGAACACCGAUGGCGAAGGCAGGUCUCUGGGCCACUACUGACGCUGAGAAGCGAAAGCAUGGGGAGCGAACAGG